This 119-nucleotide ribosomal RNA is filed under the name Pteropus alecto (black flying fox). The record is from RNAcentral. Lineage: Eukaryota; Metazoa; Chordata; Mammalia; Chiroptera; Pteropodidae.
GUCUACGGCCAUGCCACCCCGAAUAUGUCCAAUCUCGUCUGAUCUCAGAAGCUAAGCAGGGUCGGGCCCGGUUAGUACUUGGAUGGGAGACCACCUGGGAAGACCAGGUGCUGUAGGCA